This 697-nucleotide ribosomal RNA is filed under the name Helvella alpestris. Its description in RNAcentral is "partial large subunit ribosomal RNA". It matches the Rfam family "Eukaryotic large subunit ribosomal RNA", at positions 71 to 779 of the family's 3401-position model. Lineage: Eukaryota; Fungi; Ascomycota; Pezizomycetes; Pezizales; Helvellaceae. The record is from RNAcentral.
GGGAUUGCCCCAGUAACGGCGAGUGAAGCGGCAGGAGCUCAAAUUUGAAAUCUGGGGUCGCCGACCUCCGAGUUGUAAUUUGGAGAGGCGCCUUUGGGGGGGAGCGCUGGCCCAUGUUCCUUGGAACAGGACGUCGCAGAGGGUGAGAAUCCCGUGCCAGGCCGGCCGCCUCCUCCCGCGUGAGGCGCCUUCGACGAGUCGAGUUGUUUGGGAAUGCAGCUCCAAGUGGGUGGUAAAUUUCAUCUAAAGCUAAAUACUUGCGGGAGACCGAUAGCGCACAAGUAGAGUGAUCGAAAGAUGAAAAGCACUUUGAAAAUAGAGUCAAAAAGUACGUGAAAUUGUUGAAAGGGAAGCGCUUGAGACCAGACUCAGACCCGAGCAAACAUCGCGCCCCUCGGGGCCGUGCAAUUGCCUGGGGCUGGGCCAGCAUCGGUUGGCGUGGCGGGACAAAGGCGCAGGGAAUGUGGCUCCCCUCUGGGAGUGUUAUUAGCCCCGUGCUGAAUGCCGCCGCCGCCGACUGAGGACCGCGCCUCGGCUAGGAUGCUGGCUUAAUGGCCUUCAGCGACCCGUCUUGAAACACGGACCAAGGAGUCUAACAUCUAUGCGAGUGUUUGGGCGUCAAACCCUUGCGCGGGAAUGAAAGUGAGCGGAGGUGGGAACCCCUCGCCGGGCGCACCAUCGACCGAUCCUGAUGUCU